UACAGGGGGGGCAAGCGUUAUUCAUCACGACUGGGCGUAAAGGGCACGUAGGUGGUUUAUGUAUUUUUUUGUUAAAUUCUAGAGAUACUUACUUUAGCGUAGCAAAAAAAAAGCAUAGAACUGGAGUUAGAAAGGCGUUGGUGGAACUCUCGGAGGAGCGCUGAAAUGCUUAGAUACCUUGAAGAAUGCCGAAAUGAAAAUAUCUUUCGCUUGAUAACUGACACUGAGGUGCGAAGGCGUGGGGAGCAAU
Molecule: ribosomal RNA, 250 nt
Filed under: uncultured bacterium
Lineage: Bacteria
Description: partial 16S ribosomal RNA
Rfam family: Bacterial small subunit ribosomal RNA
Source: RNAcentral